GCGGCGGUGGCGGAAUUGGUAGACGCACCAGCUUGAGGGGCUGGCGGGGGCAACCCCGUGGAGGUUCGAAUCCUCUCCGCCGCACCA
RNAcentral lists this transfer RNA (87 nucleotides) under Deltaproteobacteria bacterium. RNAcentral's name for it is "tRNA-Leu". It matches the Rfam family "tRNA". From Rfam's summary of the family: Transfer RNA (tRNA) molecules are approximately 80 nucleotides in length. Their secondary structure includes four short double-helical elements and three loops (D, anti-codon, and T loops). RNAcentral also lists the same sequence under 2 other names. Lineage: Bacteria; Pseudomonadati; Myxococcota; Myxococcia. The record is from RNAcentral.